Molecule: ribosomal RNA, 326 nt
Filed under: marine sediment bacterium BB0608_2216_3.2_7S0
Lineage: Bacteria
Description: bacterial SSU rRNA
Rfam family: Bacterial small subunit ribosomal RNA
Source: RNAcentral
UGGUAAGGUAACGGCUUACCAAGGCAGCGAUAGGUAGGGGUCCUGAUAGGGAGAUCCCCCACACUGGUACUGAGACACGGACCCCACUCCUACGGGAGGCAGCAGUGAGGAAUAUUGGACAAUGGGCGAGAGCCUGAUCCUGCCAUGCCGCGUGCAAGAAGACUGCCCUAUGGGUUGUAAACUGCUUUUACGGAGGAAGAACCACCCCCACGUGUGGGGGUUUGACGGUACUCUGCGAAUAAGGAUCGGCUAACUCCGUGCCAGCAGCCGCGGUAAUACGGAGGAUCCAAGCGUUAUCCGGAAUCAUUGGGUUUAAAGGGUCCGUA